UCGAGAAUCAUUCGCAAUGGGCGAAAGCCUGAUGGAGCGACGUCGCGUGAUGGACGAAGUGCUUCGGCACGUAAACAUCUUUUAUGUGGGAUGAAAUUAUUGACAGUACCACAUGAAUAAGGGGCUCCUAACUCUGUGCCAGCAGGAGCGGUAAUACAGAGGCCCCAAGCGUUAUCCGGAAUCACUGGGCGUAAAGGGUGUCGAGGCGGUUGUAUUAGUCGUUCGUAAAAUCUACGAGCUUAACUUGUAGGCGGCGAACGAAACGGUACGACUUGAGGUUUGGAGAGGUGCGUGGAACUCACGGUGUAGGGGUGAAAUCCGUUGAUAUCGUGGGGAACACCAAAGGCGAAGGCAGCGCACUGGCCAAAAUCUGACGCUCACACACGAAAGCUAGGGUAGCGAAGAGGAUUAGAUACCCGCGUAGUCCCUGAGCGGGCUGGCAAGGCGCAU
This 450-nucleotide ribosomal RNA is filed under the name uncultured bacterium. Its description in RNAcentral is "bacterial SSU rRNA". It matches the Rfam family "Bacterial small subunit ribosomal RNA", at positions 355 to 825 of the family's 1533-position model. The record is from RNAcentral.